GAGCUCCUAGCCCCGGUCCUUUCUCAAGGUGUGGGGGCCACCGCUGAGACCCGGGUGCCCCUAAGUCAACAGUUGUCAGCAAAUAUUUACCCGGCACUUUCCGUUCCAGGUUCUAGGUGUGCAAUGGGAGCAAGACAGAGGAGGUUCUUGCACGGACAGCACUUCUAGAAGCCUAGGAUGCAGGGAUUUCAAUCCAAAGAUUAAAAACAGUGGACAAAGGCCCUGCGGCUUAAUACACAGUGCUAGAGAAGCGCGCAUGCGUGCUUGGUGUUAGGGACAGCCUGGACAGCCUUGGGGGAGCCAGGGAGGGUUCCCUGGACCGAGAGGAGUCUGGACAGAGGCCUGUAGGAUGACUUGGAGUCAGCUUUUAGCCAUGCAAACAAGGGUUCUUCCAGGCCAGCGAACAGCCUGUGAGUGGUGCCAUUUCAAUAAGGCUGGCUGGAGCCGCAGGAUCUGGGUAGCAUAAGGAGAGGGAGGAGCCCAAGCCAACAGGACCUUGAACGCCUCCUAAACCAUUUGGACUUUUUCCUGAGGGUAAUGGGGCGCCCUUGAAGGAUCUCAUGUCAGAGUGACAUAUUGCUCAGAAUGGAGUUGAAGGGCAAGGGUAGAUAUAGGUCAGGAGGCUGAUGUUUGGGAGAGGGGAAUGGACCCAAGAGAUGUUUAAGACACAGGAAAAUGGGAUGUGGAGGUUAGGUUAGGUUCUGCAUGAAUGGUGCCCCCCCUCCUUCCCUGCAGGAGAAAGAGCUGGAAGGAGAGAAAGGUGAAACAACAAGGAUCCCCUGGGACGAGUUGAGUUUUAGGUGCCUGUGGGACACCAGGCCACUGACUAUGGAGUUCUGGGCCCCUGAUAUGUGGGGGCAGAGUUCUGGACUGAUCACCAUCUGCAUUUGGAGGCACAUUUCCACCUCAGCGACCCUCUGAUGGCUAGUUUAUUGACUCUUACAGACAUGUCUGCUCUGAACACUGCCCACCUGGCUUUGUUCUGCCAGCAUGCAAGGGACCAGUUGGAGAUCACUAAGGCCCCAGCGCCCAUCCAAGGAUGCCUGUGGCAUGAAUGCUCCUCUACCUCUCUUCUACCUUCAGCCAGCUGUGCUGUGUGCUGCUGGAAUAGCUUCAGGUGCCCUGAGCUGGGACUGGAGAUGAUGGGGAGGCUUGGACAGUGGGGGUCACCUGGAGUGGAGAAAUUCAAGUGACUAAAUGUACUCCCCUGUGAGGCUGAGCAUUUGGAGAUGGAAAGGAAGGCUGGGGUGGUGGCUCAUUGGUAGAGCACUCGCCGAACAUGCGUGAGGCACUGGGUUUGAUUCUCAGCACC
This 1312-nucleotide long non-coding RNA is filed under the name Ictidomys tridecemlineatus (thirteen-lined ground squirrel). Its description in RNAcentral is "lncRNA (ENSSTOG00000030512.1)". Lineage: Eukaryota; Metazoa; Chordata; Mammalia; Rodentia; Sciuridae. The record is from RNAcentral.